This 118-nucleotide ribosomal RNA is filed under the name uncultured eukaryote. RNAcentral describes it as "partial small subunit ribosomal RNA". It matches the Rfam family "Bacterial small subunit ribosomal RNA", at positions 1410 to 1525 of the family's 1533-position model. The record is from RNAcentral.
AUCGGUUUUACCCGAAGCCGGUGAGCUAACUCGCAAGAGAAGCAGCCGUCUACGGUAGAGCCGAUGAUUGGGGUGAAGUCGUAACAAGGUAGCCGUAGGUGAACCUGCAGAAGGAUCA